UGGCGGACGGGGGAGUAAUGCUUGGGAAUCUGGCUUAUGAGGGGGGAUAACUACGGGAAACUGUAGCUAAUACCGCGUAAAAUCUUCGGAUUAAAGGGUGGGACUUUCGGGCCACCUGCCAUAAGAUGAGCCCAAGUGGGAUUAGGUAGUUGGUUAGGUAAAGGCUGACCAAGCCGACGAUCUCUAGCUGGUCUGAGAGGAUGACCAGCCACACUGGAACUGAGACACGGUCCAG
RNAcentral lists this ribosomal RNA (235 nucleotides) under uncultured bacterium. RNAcentral's name for it is "partial 16S ribosomal RNA". It matches the Rfam family "Bacterial small subunit ribosomal RNA", at positions 96 to 334 of the family's 1533-position model. The record is from RNAcentral.